Drosophila grimshawi is the source of this 801-nucleotide long non-coding RNA. RefSeq lists it as uncharacterized. The record is from RefSeq and is a predicted model, not a curated record. Lineage: Eukaryota; Metazoa; Arthropoda; Insecta; Diptera; Drosophilidae. The transcript is spliced from 3 exons.
CAAGGAUCGGCGAAGAGUGAUUUAUUGCAAUGAUGCAUCAACUGGUGCAACAAAAAGUCCAUCUCGCAGUGGUCCAAUCUGUUAUACCAAUAAUUGUGAACAAAAUGAAUGUAAAUAUGCGCAAAUUCCCCGACGACUGAGUUCAUUCUGUGCUGAAAGGAAGCAAGAGUUGGGCACAAUGUAAAAAUAUGGACUGGGAAUUGCCCAAGAAAAGUUCGCUUCUGCUACAGCAAAAAACUGAUUUAUAAAUAAACUUCUACGAAAUUGUAAGCUGACAUCAACAAACAGAGAAGAAAUCCAUGCUUACAAAAUGGCCAACAUAAGUCAAAAGUGCUGCCGCGACAAACCAAUGGCCUGGAAGCCAACAGGGACACCAGAAACCACAAUAGAUUUCUCCAAACAGAAGUGAAAAUCACCAUAAUGUUUUUACGCUGCUUGAAAGCAAAAUAAUAAGGCAUUUAAAUAUAAAAGCAAAAGUAAAGUACGUAAAGAUGUAGCAGAAGAAUUCCAUACCAGCGGGGGGAUUAAAAUACUGGAAUACUAUAAGAAUAUUCAAGACAGUUGAGACGGAUUAUUUCUCUCCAGUUGGAAUUUAAGAAACUGCAUUUUGUGAGCAUUACACUCAAAAUGCUCUUUUCAAUCUGGGAACAGAGUCAACAACUGUAGUCAACACUUUAAACGAUCGUUUAUCAACGUUUACGUUUUUUGGUUGUAAAAUAUAAUUUUCGGAGCAUCAAACAGCUGUCAAUCAUAAAAUUCAUACCCAAUAAACAAUAAAAAUUAAAAUGAACCGCAUAGUAA